This is a long non-coding RNA of Oncorhynchus tshawytscha (Chinook salmon), 2090 nucleotides long. The record is from Ensembl. NCBI's taxonomy places the organism in Eukaryota, Metazoa, Chordata, Actinopteri, Salmoniformes, Salmonidae.
GGUUUGUUCCCCUGAAGCUGUCUGAAUGUGAUGCAAACCCAAAGGGUUUUCUUUCUUCUUUGUGGCAAUGGAGUUAACACUUGGCAUGUUAAUGUAUCGUCAUGUUAAUUUGUUGGGGAUCUUGAACGGACACUCCUGACUAUGCCUGUCCCAGGUAUGACCGUUCUUUCUUACCUCAUUGUCUGUCGUCAGGUGGUGAAUGACCUACUCUUUAGCGGCUCCAGUGACACGUCUAUCCACGCCCACAACAGCCACAGUUCUCAGUUGUCUUGAAAGCACCACAAAUCCAGAGAAUGCCAGACUUUGAUGACAAAAUUUGCCCAUGAAGGACCACCACGCCACCUUCCUGUUCAAGUAAGCGCAGCACAACAAGGUAGUCUCUGCCCACCAUUGAGAGCAUCCUGUCGGGCUGUAUCACUGCCUGGUACGGCAACUGCACCGUCUUCAACCGCAGGGCUCUCCAGAGGGUGGUGCGGUCUGCCCAACACAUCACCGGGGGCAUACUGCCUGUCCUCCAGGACAUCUACAGCACGCGAUGUCACAGGAAGGCCUAAAAGAUCAUCAAGGACACCAGCCACCCAAGCUACGGCCUGUUCACCCCGCUAUCAUCCAGAAGGCAAGGUCAGUACAGGUGCAUCAAAGCUGGGACCGAGAGACUGAAAAACAGCUUCUAUCUCAAGGCCAUCAGACUGUUAAAUAGCCAUCACUAGCCAGCCUCCAUCCAGUACCCUGCCCCUCACUGUCACCAGCUGACUACCACCCGGUUACUCAACCCUGAACCUUAGAGGCUGCUGCCCUAUGUACAUAGACAUGGAAUCACUGGUCACUUUAGUAAUGUUUACAUACUGUUUUACUAAACUCAUAUGUAUAAUACAAGGACAUCCUGUUCCACUAUUGCUGUACACAUACAUAUACACACACAUAUAUAUGUGGUGGGAUGUAUAAACAUUAUGGACAGCAUGUGGAUAGAAUAUGUGGUAUAUCUGAAGAAUACGUAGGACAGAAUAGUAUAUUAUACUAUAUAUUUAUACUCUGUACUCCAACAUUGCUCAUCCUAAUAUUUCUAUAUUUCUUAAUUCCAUUAUUUUACUUUUAGAGUUGUGUGUAUUGUUAAAUAUUGCUGCACUGUUGGAGCUAGGAACACCAGCAUUUCGCUACACCCACAAUAACAUCUGCUAAAAAUGUGUAUGCGACCAAUACGAUUUGAUUUGAUUCCCUUACACUGGCUUAUGUUUUUAUGAACUGUGUUACAAACAUGGGCUGGUGUAGCUUGGCCCAACAGCCCCAGUUCUCAGGCAGGCAUUUAGCAGAUGUUGUGGGAAAGGUGUUUCUCUUACACAGCACACAAACGCACAUGCAGACCACGCAGACACACACACACACUCUGCUGCAGAUGUCUGUCUUUUACAGGGAGGAGUGCAGUAACUACGGGGCCACUAAUUUGCUCCUCCAUCCAGAUUUCCUUCUCACCUGGCUCAAACUCUCACACCAUCUUUCCCUCCUCACUCUCUCUUCCAACAUGAAAGCUCCUUGAUUGCACCCCCAGCUGUCUGCCUCUCAGACUAUAUUUUGCCUUUGCUUUUCACUGUGCCAGUGUUCCCGGAUGGUAUGGUCUCAGUUUGGACAGGAACUGCUAGUAAGCGAAUGAUAUGGAUGCUGCUAGAUAACACCUGUCUAAAUUUGAUCUUUUCACAUUCAGGCCUGUCAUGACCUGCUGAAUCCUACUUGGGCUUGUGUACAUUAGUGUGCUGUGUGCAGAUGUUGCUACUUGAAAAUGUUCACCAAGAGCAUUCUGUAGUCUUACCUAACUAGCAGAAAUUGUUAAUACGUUAGAAAUUAUUUAAACACACUUUGCUGUAGCCUACAAUUUACUAGUUAACAAAAAAAUAAUGUGUGUCAUAUAAAAUAUAUUCACCCCACCCAGUAUUGUAAUCAAAACUUACCAGAAAGCAUGUAGUCCUUGGCUCAGACAGUGUAGUAUUGUGGAUUGUUUGGCCCUGUCUGGGGGUGUCCUCGGAUGGGGCCACAGUGUCUCCUGACCCCUCCUGUCUCAGCCUCCAGUAUUUAUGCUGCAGUAGUUAAUGUGUCGG